RNAcentral lists this ribosomal RNA (292 nucleotides) under uncultured bacterium. RNAcentral's name for it is "partial 16S ribosomal RNA". It matches the Rfam family "Bacterial small subunit ribosomal RNA", at positions 505 to 796 of the family's 1533-position model. The record is from RNAcentral.
GUGCCAGCAGCCGCGGUAAUACGUAGGGUGCAAGCGUUAAUCGGAAUUACUGGGCGUAAAGCGUGCGCAGGCGGUUCGGAAAGAAAGAUGUGAAAUCCCAGAGCUUAACUUUGGAACUGCAUUUUUAACUACCGAGCUAGAGUGUGUCAGAGGGAGGUGGAAUUCCGCGUGUAGCAGUGAAAUGCGUAGAUAUGCGGAGGAACACCGAUGGCGAAGGCAGCCUCCUGGGAUAACACUGACGCUCAUGCACGAAAGCGUGGGGAGCAAACAGGAUUAGAUACCCUGGUAGUCC